RNAcentral lists this ribosomal RNA (484 nucleotides) under uncultured bacterium. Its description in RNAcentral is "partial 16S ribosomal RNA". It matches the Rfam family "Bacterial small subunit ribosomal RNA", at positions 28 to 523 of the family's 1533-position model. The record is from RNAcentral.
GACGAACGCUGGCGGCGUGCUUAACACAUGCAAGUCGAACGAUGAAGCUAGAGCUUGCUCUGGUGGAUUAGUGGCGAACGGGUGAGUAACACGUGAGUAACCUGCCCCGAACUCUGGGAUAACUGCUGGAAACGGUAGCUAAUACCGGAUAUGACCAAUGAAGGCAUCCUCUGUUGGUGGAAAGAAUUUCGGUUCGGGAUGGACUCGCGGCCUAUCAGCUUGUUGGUGAGGUAACGGCUCACAAAGGCGACGACGGGUAGCCGGCCUGAGAGGGUGAUCGGCCACACUGGGACUGAGACACGGCCCAGACUCCUACGGGAGGCAGCAGUGGGGAAUAUUGCACAAUGGGCGCAAGCCUGAUGCAGCAACGCCGCGUGAGGGACGACGGCCUUCGGGUCGUAAACCUCUUUUAGUAGGGAAGAAGCGAAAGUGACGGUACCUGCAGAAUAAGCACCGGCUAACUCUGUGCCAGCAGCCGCCGCCG